Molecule: transfer RNA, 74 nt
Filed under: Candidatus Heimdallarchaeota archaeon LC_2
Lineage: Archaea; Promethearchaeati; Candidatus Heimdallarchaeota
Description: tRNA-Thr
Rfam family: tRNA
About the family: Transfer RNA (tRNA) molecules are approximately 80 nucleotides in length.
Source: RNAcentral
GCCUCAGUAGCUUAGCCCGGUAAAGCGUUUCACUCGUAAUGAAAAGAUCGCGGGUUCAAAUCCCGCUUGGGGCU